Molecule: unclassified non-coding RNA, 338 nt
Filed under: Rhodotorula toruloides
Lineage: Eukaryota; Fungi; Basidiomycota; Microbotryomycetes; Sporidiobolales; Sporidiobolaceae
Source: RNAcentral
CUUCGCUCUGAGGACUUGCUAAGCUUGCGGUGUCCUUGCUAUCGGCUGUAUCGACCUCCUCUCGCCUCGCCCGCCCGACUUGCCGCCGCCUACCGCAGCCGCACGGCCUCGACGUUCAGUGCGUGAGCUCCCUGGAGAGCUGCGCGCUCGCUGGACGGCGGAACAAGCGGGAAGUGGACGCGAGAAUCCGAUAGCUCCUCCUCGCGCCAGAACUCGACGAGCGGAUGCGGGAGUAGCAGCAGGACUUGCCGUCCAGCGACGCCACGCUCCAGUCCCCAGGCGCCUCUCCAACGUGCGCAACUGGCUUGCGUCUUCGUCACCUUGCAAGACUUUUCGCC